Small nucleolar RNA from Elaeis guineensis (African oil palm), 106 nucleotides. The record is from RefSeq and is a predicted model, not a curated record. NCBI's taxonomy places the organism in Eukaryota, Viridiplantae, Streptophyta, Magnoliopsida, Arecales, Arecaceae.
AUAGCAUGAUGUGGACACUUGCGGAUGAGAUCUUUGAGUCUCUCUCGAGUUUCAUGAAACAUCUCCAUAUUCAUCUGAAAAAAACUAGGAAUGGCUUUUCUGAUUU